Molecule: long non-coding RNA, 3961 nt
Filed under: Homo sapiens (human)
Lineage: Eukaryota; Metazoa; Chordata; Mammalia; Primates; Hominidae
Description: non-protein coding lnc-ZSCAN2-5:1
Rfam family: Metazoan signal recognition particle RNA (bases 2047-2194)
Source: RNAcentral
UUUUCCGCUUCCGGUGCUCAGUGGCUAGCCGAAUAGCCGUGUUUGGGACCUGGGCUCGGGCUUCUUGCGUCCCCGCUAAGAACAUGUCACGGGGCCGAAUCGUCCGUAUUCUCUCAGCUUCAAGCUCCUCUACUUUUCAACCAGGUCACUAGCCCUUGACUCCUCUUAUCAAACUUCCGGAACUGCCACCCCACCAGUGACUCCACAGGCACCAGGGCAUGCAACAGGGCUGGGACAGGAAGGCUCUCUUCUUCACCUCAAGCCUGCUGGGCUAACACUUGCGAUUUUUACUAGAGUUAACUUUGUAAUGUAUGUCUCUGACUCUAGAAUUUCAAGAGAAGUUCCACUUAGUGACUCCUAAGUGGAAGUUCUAAGAUGGCUUCCCAGUGAGGUGAUGAAGAGGUUUGAGCUUUAGAGUGCGGUUGCAAAGCUCUUCUCUGACCUGAACAAUGGCUGUAGCUGUGGACCAACAAAUCCAGACUCCUUCAGUACAAGAUCUCCAAAUAGUUAAACUGGAAGAAGAUUCCCACUGGGAGCAGGAAAUUUCCCUUCAAGGGAAUUACCCUGGACCAGAGACAUCCUGCCAGAGCUUUUGGCAUUUCCGUUACCAAGAAGCAUCACGACCCCGAGAGGCCCUCCUCCAGCUCCAGAAGCUCUGUUGUCAGUGGCUAAGGCCAGAGAAGUGUACAAAAGAGCAGAUCCUGGAGUUGCUGGUCCUAGAACAGUUCCCGACUGUCCUUCUCCAGGAGAUCCAGAUCUGGGUCAGACAGCAGCAUCCGGAGAGUGGAGAGGAGGCAGUGGCCCUGGUGGAAGACUUGCAGAAAGAACCUGGAAGACAGAGGCUGGAGCCCUGCCUGAUGUGGCUCUGGGAAUUCCUGCAGAGAAGAGCAGGGGUGGCCAGGAGAUAGUGAGCAGCUCCCAGGAGGCAUGGAGGGAUCCAGAACCUGGACUGAAGAACCACCUAGAAAUAACUCAGCAGAAUUCUGAAAAUGAGGUCACGCUGGAUUUUCCAAUCCAUAGGCCCAAAGUGAACUCCCACGUGGAGUAGGAUGAAAACCCACAGCAUCUAGAUCUUCAAAUUCUGGAGAAAAAGAGAGUGUGAAAGACUGCUCAGUGGCUGGGGUGAGAGUCAAGUCUGGCCAGGUGCUAAUCUGGAGAAAAGCCAAGACCUGGAGCGAGCUGGAGUGGCAGGCCCUGGAGGAUGAGAAGGUGGCAGGAGUGCACUGGGGAUACAAAGAAACCAAGAUUUUUCUGGGAAUUCUCAGAGGCCUGGAUCCACGAAAAACUCCGCACCUGCCAUCGAAACCACCAGGUGUACCGGAUUAUGGCUGAGCAGCUGUGAGAACAUGGCUUCCUGUGGACCCUGGAGCAAUGUUGCUAUCGGUUCAAAAACCUCCUGACCGACUACUGCAAAGCCAGGAGCACCUACACACCAGGCACCAGUGUCUUCUAUGAUGAGAUGGAUGCCCUGUUGAGUCUUGGGGCACUUUCUAACACCUUUGAUGCCUUAGAGGUGGUAGGAGGCCUUCUUUGGGAUUGAGAGGAUUCCAAAGGGAACCAGGGCAUAGCACUAGAAGAUGUGGCGGGAUGGUAAUGAAAUAGUGGAGGAGUCUCAAGAGGAAUCCUGGAGGCUUGGUCCCCAGGCCUUGAGGUGGAAUCCCAGUGGCAACUCUCCCCCACAAUGGACCUCAGAGCAGUGGGAGCGACGCAGUCCUGUGGGAAGCAUUCAGGCUCAGAAUCAGGAGAUGUGAUUAUUGUCCUGGCUCUGUUAUGACUAAUUUGGGUCUGGAAUGGCCUCAUCGGGGGAAAAAUUGGUGACAACUUUAAGAAAUACUGUUUAUAUCCCGUCCUCAAAUAUUGCUUGACUCAACCCUCUACUGAACCAGUAGUCCAGGGUGGCUCACAAAGACCACUUUGAGGCUCUUGCUCUGCUCUUUAGCCAAGGAGUCUCCCUUCCUGCCUUCAGUAACAACAUUACAGGAAGAGAGGAGAGAAAGGUAGGAGUUAAAGAUCCAGUCAUUUGUUUCCAUCUAAAGUGCCCUAUAAGCCGGGCAUGGUGGCGCAAGCCUGUAGUCCCAGCUACUCGGGAGGCUGGGGCAGGAGAAUCACUUGAGCCCAGGAGUUGGAGGCCGCAGUGAGCUGUGAUCAUGCCACUGCAUUCCAGCCUGGGCGACAGAGUGAGACCCAGACUCAGCUGAAAAAUAAUAAUAUUAUUAAAAGAAUUUAAAAUAAAGUGUUCCAUAGAUGUGAACCCUGCGUAGAUUAUACACACCAGUCUGCCAUUUAAAAGGUUUGUUGUUCUUGGGCAACCUCUUUAAAUACCCUUAGCCUCCAUUUUCUCAUCUGGACAGUGGACAUUGUGAUGGUUUCUACCUCCCUGGGCUGUUAUGAGGAUCCUGACACAGUAUUAGCACUUGGCAAACGUUAGUUUUCAUUAUCAUCAUCAUUAUAAUUAUUAUGAAAAUAGAUAAGGGCAUUAUCCUGUACCCUCAAAGGAGUAAAAGGGGGAAAAUGAGUCAUUAAACUUUCUCUUCUGGGAACUAGACCUUCUUGAGAGGCACUAUCAUUCUCAUUUCACCUGUCACUUCCAGACAUGGGAGCAGAAAGUGAAUUUCAGAACUCCAUGUCCCCUCCUGCUUUUCUCUGAGCAGGACUUCCAGUUCCCCAGCCAGAUGGGGUCACAAUGCUGCAGAAAAGUGAAGAGCUUUGGAAUGAAGAUCUCCCGGACUUCAAGGAGAUUCAGAAAACGUCCAGUGCAGGUGGGAAAUGAAUGGGAGCUAGCAUUCCACCAACAAAGUCAGCCCUGGGAUUCUAAACUCGGACAAGCCAGCACUGGUUAAGGGCUGAGGGGAACCAGGCACUCAGUGCACCCAGUUUACUAUUCUGUGGUGUGGAAAGCACAGGACUUGAGAAGCAGGUGGCACCCAGGAAAGCCUGUUCCCCUAAGUAAGUUUGAACUUUAGUUACUUGAAAAAAGGUAUAACUGAAUUAUGAGUGUUUAUGAUUUUAUCUUUAUUUUAUUUUUUUUGAGAUGGAGUCUCACCCUGUCACCCAGGCUGGAAUGCAGUGGCACAAUCUCGGUUCACUGCAGCCUCUACCUCUCAGGUUCAAGCAAUUCUCCUGCCUCACCCUCCUGAGUAGUGGGGAUUACAGGUGUGCCACCACCAUGCCCGUCUCUAAUUUUUAUAUUUUUAGUAGAGACGGGGUUUCACCAUGUUGGCCAGGCUGGUCUUGAACUCCUGACCUCAAGUGAUCCACCCACCUUGGCCCCCCACAAAGUGCUGGGAUUACAGGCGUGAGCCACUGUGCCUGGUCUAUCUUUAAAUUCCUAUCUGAAUUUGUUUAGGUUUUUUAAAUAAAAAUCUUUCUUUUUUUUUAGAGACAGGGGUUCACCAUGGUGCCCAGGCUGAUCUCGAACUCCUCCUGGACUCAAGCUAUCCUCCCACCUCAGCCUCCCAAAGUACUGGGAUUACAGACAUGAGCCACAUGCUUGACCUGAAUUUUAACUGCAGUUAAUUAUCACUUAACCAGCGAAUUCACACAGGAGAAAUCCCCUGGCCGGGCGCGGUGGCUCACACCUGUAAUCCCAGCUCUUCGGGAGGCCGAGGUGGGUAGAUCACAAGGUCAAGAGAUCAAGACCAUUCUGGCCAACAUGGUGAAACUCCGUCUGUACCAAAAAUACAAAAAUUACCUGGGCAUGGUGGUACGUGCCUGUAAUCCCAGCUACUUGGCAGGCUGAGGCAGGAGCAUUGCUUGAACCCAUGAGGUGGAGGUUGCAGUGAGCCGAGAUCACGCCACUGCACUCAAGCCUGGGUGACAGAGCAAGACUCCAUCUCUACUACAAAAAAAAAAAAAAAAAAAAUUCAACCACCUUAGGAAGCCUCUCAUUUAUGUAUUUCUAGCAUGUAAUUAGUGUUGCACAUGGGAAGGGCUAAUAGAUGCUGACAGAGUGAACAACUUA